Long non-coding RNA from Juglans regia (Persian walnut), 775 nucleotides. RefSeq lists it as uncharacterized. NCBI's taxonomy places the organism in Eukaryota, Viridiplantae, Streptophyta, Magnoliopsida, Fagales, Juglandaceae. The transcript is spliced from 3 exons. The record is from RefSeq and is a predicted model, not a curated record.
UUUAAAAAAAGUGAAUAAAUGUGGUAUUCAUAAGAAAAAAAAAUUAAUUUUUUAAUAGUUAAUUUUAUUCUAUUUCAAAAUGACUACGUGAUACUGGCGUAUUUCACGACUAUAUAUAGCAUUACUCAAAUAAUUGACAAAGCAUAUUCCAAAGGUCAAAUAAUUUUGCUUUAGAGCUUUUAAACUAUUGGAAAAGUUUAAGAAAAAGCGCUAAAAGGCUCCAUCAAAUAGUGAAAAAGAACAAAAAAAAAAAAAGGAAAAUAAACAUUACGCUUCUUAUGCAUAAGCAGAAAUAACUCUUUUAUAUCUAAUGUAAUUGUUGGUUGUUUAUUUUUCUAGAUGGAGUCUUCUACAAAUGAUGGUUGACUCUUUUCGAAAUAGUUUAAAUCCGAUGAUGUUUAAGAGUCUCAUACGUGCACAAAAUUGGCUUCAUUCUUCUUCUACUCCAAUAAACCUUAGGACUUUAAUAGAUGAAGUGGAUGAAUUUGAGAAGCAGCUUGAUAUGAGUGUCAAAUUCAAUGCCUACUGGCUCUACAUCCAAUGCUGAUUAAAGACUAAAGAGAUAGGUUGCUAAGGGACCUGGCUUUUGGCAGUUUGAGUUUGCUUGGAUCAUCCUAUAAUUGUAUUCUUCUUAGUUGUUAGUUAUGUUAAGUUGUUAACUCAUCUUAUUUAAUAUUAGUGUUUACAUGUGGACACUGCAGUAUCUUAGAGAGAAUGUUUUGGAUUGUAAUUUGUAAUAACUUUUGUGUGUUUUUUUUUGGUUUUGUAACUUCUU